UACGUAGGUGGCGAGCGUUGUCCGGAUUUACUGGGCGUAAAGAGCGCGCAGGCGGUCGGGCAAGUCGCGUGUGAAAGCCCCCGGCUCAACUGGGGAGGGUCACGCGAUACUGCUCGACUUGAAGGCAGGAGAGGGAAGUGGAAUUCCCGGUGUAGUGGUGAAAUGCGUAGAUAUCGGGAGGAACACCAGUGGCGAAGGCGACUUCCUGGCCUGUUAUUGACGCUGAGGCGCGAAAGCUAGGGUAGCAAACGGG
Molecule: ribosomal RNA, 253 nt
Filed under: uncultured bacterium
Lineage: Bacteria
Description: partial 16S ribosomal RNA
Rfam family: Bacterial small subunit ribosomal RNA
Source: RNAcentral